This 253-nucleotide ribosomal RNA is filed under the name uncultured bacterium. RNAcentral's name for it is "partial 16S ribosomal RNA". It matches the Rfam family "Bacterial small subunit ribosomal RNA", at positions 524 to 776 of the family's 1533-position model. The record is from RNAcentral.
CACGUAGGGCGCGAGCGUUGUCCGGAAUUAUUGGGCGUAAAGAGCUCGUAGGCGGCCUGUUGCGUCCGCUGUGAAAGCCCGGGGCUUAACCCCGGGUCGGCAGUGGAUACGGGCAGGCUAGAGGUAGGUAGGGGAGAAUGGAAUUCCCGGUGUAGCGGUGAAAUGCGUAGAUAUCUGGAGGAACACCGGUGGCGAAGGCGGCAUCCUGGACCAACACUGACGCUGAGGAGCGAAAGCCAGGGGAGCAAACGGG